This 497-nucleotide ribosomal RNA is filed under the name uncultured bacterium. RNAcentral's name for it is "partial 16S ribosomal RNA". It matches the Rfam family "Bacterial small subunit ribosomal RNA", at positions 28 to 507 of the family's 1533-position model. The record is from RNAcentral.
GUUGAACGCUGGCGGCGUGCCUAACACAUGCAAGUCGAGCGAACAGACGAGGAGCUUGCUCCUCUGACGUUAGCGGCGGACGGGUGAGUAACACGUGGAUAACCUACCUAUAAGACUGGGAUAACUUCGGGAAACCGGAGCUAAUACCGGAUAAUAUAUCGAACGGCAUGGAUCAUUAGUGAAAGACGGUUUUGCUGUCACUUAUAGAUGGAUCCGCGCCGCAUUAGCUAGUUGGUAAGGUAACGGCUUACCAAGGCGACGAUGCGUAGCUGACCUGAGAGGAUGAUCAGCCACACUGGAACUGAGACACGGUCCAGACUCCUACGGGAGGCAGCAGUAGGGAAUAUUCGACAAUGGGCGAAAGCCUGACGGAGCCACGCCGCGUGAGUGAUGAAGGUCUUCGGAUCGUAAAGCUCUGUUAUUAGGGAAGAACAGAUGUAUAUGAAUCUCUGGACGUCUUGACGGUACCUAAUCAAUAAGCCACGGCUAACUUCGUG